This is an RNA transcript of Rhagoletis zephyria (snowberry fruit fly), 976 nucleotides long. RefSeq lists it as uncharacterized. NCBI's taxonomy places the organism in Eukaryota, Metazoa, Arthropoda, Insecta, Diptera, Tephritidae. The record is from RefSeq and is a predicted model, not a curated record.
UGGAUGCAGAAGACGAAGAGAAAGGACAAAAAAGUGAAAGAGGAAAUAAGAAUAAAAACGGGAGGACCUGAGAAAGCGUCAAAAAUUACGACGCGUUGAUUUGGGUAUAGCGCGCGAUGACACUGUUUGACAAUGGAUAACGCAACGCUUAGCGCUCCAAUUUAGGGACGGCAGGAAGGCAGUCGCCAAAUUCACCGGAGGUUGUUUACUGGUUAUAUUGUGAUUCGCAUUAAUCUAAUCCUUCACACUCACUUGUUAUGACAGUACGAAUCGGAUUAGAUCCGUGCGGAUGGAAUCCGUCGGAUACCGUAAUAGGCAUGAUAAUUUUAAACCAGGCGAUCUAACAUCCAGAAAGUGCGUACGCUACGUCGCUGACUGCCAGCGCUUUUAAAAUGAUAGUUAAAAUUUAUUCCAGUAACAUAUAAAUAUUGUAGUACAUAAUACCUCGUUGUGCAGCCUUGAUAGGUUAUGAAAAUGUUGGACGCAGAGCGAAACCCGGUAUAAACAGGGUACAAUUUAUUGAAAAAGAAAGGACCUCAAUUCAGAAUGAAGCAUAAAGUGAGGCAUUUAUAUCUUAGUUAUUAUAAUUAUGAUGUAAAAGAUAUAACGGAUUUAAAAUGAACCAUUUAUAAAAACGAAAAUCAUCAAAAAUAUCUUAACAAGCAAUUGUUAAGCAAACAACAAAACCGACUUCAAUUCUCAUGUAAAAAUUUAAGAUUAUCGUUAAUUUCUUCAUUAUCCGAUUAUCGGAUUUAAACCAAAUUAAUAAGGGACCACCUGUGAGGUAAAACAUUUCCUUAAAAAAAAAUAUAAUAAUUAUAGUAAUCGGUUAACUAGGUCCUAAAUUAUGCGGUAACAUAAAUUAAAAAAAUAAAAAGUAUUCCGACGAAUUGAUCACCUUCUCCUUUUUGUGAAGUAGGUUAAAAAUAAUAUAUAAUGUAAAUCCAACUUGAGACGGACCGCCAUUAAAAAAAAA